CACCCAGCAACAGAGGCUGGUGCACUGAGGAACAGUGAGCUUUGGUGCCCAUCACUUCCCAGGGCUGGCUGCUCUAAUGCUGGAUACCCCACAGAAGCCUGUUUAAUCUAUCUUUUGUUUGAGGAUAUAUGGGUUGGCAAACAUGACUGCCUCCCUCUGGUUACUGCAGAAGAAGUCUGAGUUUCUUCCUGGUCUGGGUCAGAAGCAAGUGGACAAUGGUCUGAAUGCUGCUCAGUCUGCACCUAGCCUUAUAACAGCUCUGAUUCCACCCUGCCAUCCCAGCUCCACCCAAACAGCACAUUAGCUCCUGUUGGGGAUGGACUGAAGCUUGCUGUUGACGGUAAGCCUGAGGACAUGGCUCUGGGGCUGAUCAGUAGUUGGGGCUACUGGCCUGCUCAGGUUUGAAGCACACAGAAGAAGAGGGAUUACUGAUGAAUGAGGAGAAUACCUUGGCCUGACGGAAACAGUUCUGUUUGUGAGCAUGAAAGAGGGAGGAGGGCAAGAAGAAUUCAGAACUUUCACUUUACACUUCAGAAAGGAUUUAAGGUGUAUUAAGUGGAGAAUCAAAGUCUACAAAGAUCAUAACGCUAAAGAGGGAGGGAAGAUUUGACAUCAUAAGCUGAGACGCUGUGACUUCUUGAUGUGAACUCCUUUGGAAGCUUUCAGAGCCAUGUAUAAGGAGAGCAAGUCUGGUCUUCUCUUUGUGUCAAGAAACUGGAUUAGGAAUACUGGAGAAUUUCUCUAUUACUUCAGAACUUCAGUCAGGCACAGCUCAGCACAUGGGGGUGUCCAGCUCCUAAAUGAGAUUAUUUUAAUGCCAGAACAUUAUCCUCUGAGCUUUGCACAAGACCCUUCUGACUUACAGUAAGACUGAGGGGAGACCUCUUCACCAUCUACAACUUCCUCGUGCAAGGAAGAGGAGGGGCAGACACCAGUUUCUUCUCUGUGGUGACCAGUGACAGGACCCAAGGGAAUGGCCUGAAGUUAUGUUAGGGGAGGUUUGGGUUGGAUAUUAGAAAAAUGUUCUUCACCCAGAGGGUGGCUGAGCACUGGAAGGGGUUUCCCAGGGAAGUGGUCACAACACCAAGCUGGACAGAGUUCAAGAAGAGUUUGGGCAAUGCUCUCAGGCACGUGUUAUGACUCUUGAGCAUGAUUCUGUGCAGUGCUAGGAGUUGGACUCAAUGAUUCUUGUAGGUCCCUUCCAACUGAGCAUAUUCUAUGAUUCUGUGAUUUUUUUUUUUUUAGUGUCCUGUAUGUGAGAAAACAGGACAAUUUUAGAAAAUGGACAGAUAAUACUAAAUUAAGAGCAUCCAGGUGAAUCAUUCCCUGGAGUGUGAGGAAAUAAACUAUGAAUUGCAAAUAUUUA
Myiozetetes cayanensis is the source of this 1366-nucleotide long non-coding RNA. RefSeq lists it as uncharacterized. Lineage: Eukaryota; Metazoa; Chordata; Aves; Passeriformes; Tyrannidae. The record is from RefSeq and is a predicted model, not a curated record. The transcript is spliced from 2 exons.